Molecule: transfer RNA, 74 nt
Filed under: Dinghuibacter sp.
Lineage: Bacteria; Pseudomonadati; Bacteroidota; Chitinophagia; Chitinophagales; Chitinophagaceae
Description: tRNA-Trp
Rfam family: tRNA
About the family: Transfer RNA (tRNA) molecules are approximately 80 nucleotides in length. Their secondary structure includes four short double-helical elements and three loops (D, anti-codon, and T loops). Further hydrogen bonds mediate the characteristic L-shaped molecular structure. tRNAs have two regions of fundamental functional importance: the anti-codon, which is responsible for specific mRNA codon recognition, and the 3' end, to which the tRNAs corresponding amino acid is attached (by aminoacyl-tRNA synthetases). tRNAs cope with the degeneracy of the genetic code in two manners: having more than one tRNA (with a specific anti-codon) for a particular amino acid; and 'wobble' base-pairing, i.e. permitting non-standard base-pairing at the 3rd anti-codon position.
Source: RNAcentral
ACGGGCAUAGUUCAAUGGUAGAAUAGAGGUCUCCAAAACCUUUGAUACUGGUUCGAAUCCGGUUGCCCGUGCCA